Non-coding RNA from Camellia sinensis, 608 nucleotides. The record is from RefSeq and is a predicted model, not a curated record. Lineage: Eukaryota; Viridiplantae; Streptophyta; Magnoliopsida; Ericales; Theaceae.
AAGAGCAUUGCUUGCCACACUAUCUUACUCUUUCUGCACUUGACUUUUUCCCCUUGAUUUAUUAAAAUGAAGUUUGUUUACAUGUUGGUCAAUCACACCUGACUGGCACACAAGACUUAGCUUGAUUUUGGUAUUAAGCUUUUGUCAACCCUGUUUUCUGAUUCACAAUUUGGACUAAAUAAAUAGUUGGUUAUUAAAAGUUGUGCUCCACUUACUAAAUUUGUUUGAUAUUGAAGUUAGGGCUUUAACAAAUUGUUAUGCACUUCUAAGCUAUUAUCUCUCCUUUCAUAGUUAUCAAAUGACUGUGCAGUGUGCGCAUCAAAACCUCCCUUUUGCUUUGCUCUUCUUUCCCUUAUUCUCUUGCACAGAAUGUGGCAUUUACCUUGGAUUUUCUUUUAGUUGCAAAAUGUGGUAUCUGUAAUUUCUUCAUUUCAUUAUUAUGUUUGUGUGGCUUUGCAGUUGUGAACCUGACACUGAUUGAUCUUCCUGGGCUUACAAAAGUAGCUAUUGAUGGCCAAUCUGAAAGCAUUGUGCAAGACAUUGAGAAUAUGGUCCGGUCCUAUAUUGAGAAGGUUCACAUAUCAAAGAAAGGAAAGAAAAAGAAGUAG